CUAAUACAUGCAGUCGAGCGAACAGAUAAGGAGCUUGCUCCUUUGACGUUAGCGGCGGACGGGUGAGUAACACGUGGGUAACCUACCUAUAAGACUGGGAUAACUUCGGGAAACCGGAGCUAAUACCGGAUAACAUUUGGAACCGCAUGGUUCUAAAGUGAAAGAUGGUUUUGCUAUCACUUAUAGAUGGACCCGCGCCGUAUUAGCUAGUUGGUAAGGUAACGGCUUACCAAGGCGACGAUACGUAGCCGACCUGAGAGGGUGAUCGGCCACACUGGAACUGAGACACGGUCCAGACUCCUACGGGAGGCAGCAGUAGGGAAUCUUCCGCAAUGGGCGAAAGCCUGACGGAGCAACGCCGCGUGAGUGAUGAAGGGUUUCGGCUCGUAAAACUCUGUUAUUAGGGAAGAACAAACGUGUAAGUAACUGUGCACGUCUUGACGGUACCUAAUCAGAAAGCCACGGCUAACUACGUGCCAGCAGCCGCGGUAAUACGUAGGUGGCAAGCGUUAUCCGGAAUUAUUGGGCGUAAAGCGCGCGUAGGCGGUUUCUUAAGUCUGAUGUGAAAGCCCACGGCUCAACCGUGGAGGGUCAUUGGAAACUGGGAAACUUGAGUGCAGAAGAGGAAAGUGGAAUUCCAUGUGUAGCGGUGAAAUGCGCAGAGAUAUGGAGGAACACCAGUGGCGAAGGCGACUUUCUGGUCUGUAACUGACGCUGAUGUGCGAAAGCGUGGGGAUCAAACAGGAUUAGAUACCCUGGUAGUCCACGCCGUAAACGAUGAGUGCUAAGUGUUAGGGGGUUUCCGCCCCUUAGUGCUGCAGCUAACGCAUUAAGCACUCCGCCUGGGGAGUACGACCGCAAGGUUGAAACUCAAAGGAAUUGACGGGGACCCGCACAAGCGGUGGAGCAUGUGGUUUAAUUCGAAGCAACGCGAAGAACCUUACCAAAUCUUGACAUCCUUUGAAAACUCUAGAGAUAGAGCCUUCCCCUUCGGGGGACAAAGUGACAGGUGGUGCAUGGUUGUCGUCAGCUCGUGUCGUGAGAUGUUGGGUUAAGUCCCGCAACGAGCGCAACCCUUAAGCUUAGUUGCCAUCAUUAAGUUGGGCACUCUAGGUUGACUGCCGGUGACAAACCGGAGGAAGGUGGGGAUGACGUCAAAUCAUCAUGCCCCUUAUGAUUUGGGCUACACACGUGCUACAAUGGACAAUACAAAGGGCAGCUAAACCGCGAGGUCAUGCAAAUCCCAUAAAGUUGUUCUCAGUUCGGAUUGUAGUCUGCAACUCGACUACAUGAAGCUGGAAUCGCUAGUAAUCGUAGAUCAGCAUGCUACGGUGAAUACGUUCCCGGGUCUUGUACACACCGCCCGUCACACCACGAGAGUUUGUAACACCCGAAGCCGGUGGAGUAACCAUUUAUGGAGCUAGCCGUCGAAGGGGGGACCAA
The sequence is a ribosomal RNA, 1443 nucleotides long. It matches the Rfam family "Bacterial small subunit ribosomal RNA".